AAACUUUCUACACAACAUAACAGUAGAGAUAGCUAAUGAAGGAGGAUACACUCAAAUAAAAGAAAUACUAUUAACUGGUGGAGGAGAAGAGACUGGAAAAGUGGACUGGAUCAGUACUAGUGUAUCCCUGAAAAACCAUCAGCAGGUCAAUGUCAGGAAGUGAUCAGUCAAUUAACGGACAGUCAUCAGAACAUUAUCCUUCAUCACUCAUCACCUGAUAUUGUAUACCUACUGAUAUCCCUAGUAUUAGACAUAAGAACAAUGAAAUGGAUUGGUAUACAUAACACUAAAAUAACAAAAGAUGUCAUCCUCUUAUCACACAAAAUAACAAACAAUACUUCAUUAGAGGCACUAUCGAUCAGUGAUGAUUCCAUCAAUGAUGAUGGAGUCAUUGCACUAACACAAUCAUUAAUUAAUAAUAAAACAACUACUACCUUAGGUCUUAAUUACAAUCCUGAUAUCACUUCAACCAGUGCUCAGUCACUAGCUGAACUUUUACUCUACAACCACACACCAUUUUACCUUUAUCUCAAUGGUACUAACAUUGAUACUGAUGGAGUACUGGUACUGAUGGAAUCUCUUAGGACCAAUAAUACACUAUGGACACUAGCUCUAGACAAUAAACAUAGACAAACUUGUUAUUCUUUACCUUAUUAUAAAACUAUUAAAAACA
Molecule: long non-coding RNA, 673 nt
Organism: Amphimedon queenslandica
Lineage: Eukaryota; Metazoa; Porifera; Demospongiae; Haplosclerida; Niphatidae
Exons: 2
Source: RefSeq, a predicted model, not a curated record